GAUGAACGCUGGCGGCGUGCCUAAUACAUGCAAGUCGAGCGAACAGACGAGGAGCUUGCUCCUCUGACGUUAGCGGCGGACGGGUGAGUAACACGUGGAUAACCUACCUAUAAGACUGGGAUAACUUCGGGAAACCGGAGCUAAUACCGGAUAAUAUAUUGAACCGCAUGGUUCAAUAGUGAAAGACGGUUUUGCUGUCACUUAUAGAUGGAUCCGCGCCGCAUUAGCUAGUUGGUAGGGUAACAGCUUACCAAGGCAACGAUGCGUAGCCGACCUGAGAGGGUGAUCGGCCACACUGGAACUGAGACACGGUCCAGACUCCUACGGGAGGCAGCAGUAGGGAAUCUUCCGCAAUGGGCGAAAGCCUGACGGAGCAACGCCGCGUGAGUGAUGAAGGUCUUCGGAUCGUAAAACUCUGUUAUUAGGGAAGAACAAAUGUGUAAGUAACUAUGCACGUCUUGACGGUACCUAAUCAGAAAGCCACGGCUAACUACGUG
RNAcentral lists this ribosomal RNA (497 nucleotides) under uncultured bacterium. Its description in RNAcentral is "partial 16S ribosomal RNA". It matches the Rfam family "Bacterial small subunit ribosomal RNA", at positions 28 to 507 of the family's 1533-position model. The record is from RNAcentral.